CAGAUCAGUCAUUUUGAGAUCACUUUUCAGUUUUGCCACACAAAUCUCCACCUCUCUUGUCUGUCUGCAGGUGCAGUGUGGUGGUCAGUUUGCAUAAAGACGCCCCCUUUGUGACGCCCGUCUCAGCACUCUGACUGCAUUUAUAAUUUCCUGAAUGAGACGCACUGACAGAAUCUCCAGCCACCAUGACUGCACUUGUGCUACUGUCUGUCUUCAUAGUCUUCAUUCAAGACUCAAGAUGUCAGAUUUCUGUGACUCAACCAACAGCACCAAAGUCAGUUUCUCCUGGAGGGAGCGUCACCUUCAGCUGUACCACUGGGAGUGAUGUGAGUAGCUAUAUUAACUGGUACCAGCAGAGACCUGGACAAUCCCCUAAACUCCUGAUCUAUGCUGCAAGCACUCGCUACGGUGACACCCCAAGUCGCUUCACUGGCAGCGGGUCAGGAACUUCAUACAGUUUGACUAUCAGUGGAGUCCAACCUGAAGACGCCGGUCACUACUACUGUCAGGAGAGGUACAGCUUACCACACAGUGAUUGAGACUCGUACAAAAACCUCACUGAGCUGCUGUCAAGUCUGCAGGUGUGAAACUGAAACACUGAAAUGAAACUUAAAGCAGAAACCAAUGAACUGAAACAAAAGGAUGUGAGAUGACAGUAAAACCAAAGAGGAACAAACUAACUGAAAAAUUAAAAUGAAAGGAAAAAAAAUAGCAGAGCAGAGGAAAUCUAACUUACUGAAAUACAAGAUUCCACGUUUUGGAUUAAUUUUGUUUAGUGUGACCAACUGAAUAAGCAAUUAUCUUAUUAUCAGCACAUUUUUUUUAAUACUGUUUAUUUAAUAAAGUUAAAAGGAUCAGAA
This is a non-coding RNA of Polypterus senegalus (gray bichir), 860 nucleotides long. The record is from the annotation of a RefSeq genome assembly. NCBI's taxonomy places the organism in Eukaryota, Metazoa, Chordata, Cladistia, Polypteriformes, Polypteridae.